CGACCGGCGCACGGGUGAGUAACGCGUAUCCAACCUUCCCAUUACUGUGGGAUAACCUGCCGAAAGGCAGACUAAUACCGCAUAGUCUUCGAUGACGGCAUCAGAUUUGAAGUAAAGAUUUAUCGGUAAUGGAUGGGGAUGCGUCUGAUUAGCUUGUUGGCGGGGUAACGGCCCACCAAGGCGACGAUCAGUAGGGGUUCUGAGAGGAAGGUCCCCCACAUUGGAACUGAGACACGGUCCAAACUCCUACGGGAGGCAGCAGAC
Molecule: ribosomal RNA, 264 nt
Filed under: uncultured Prevotella sp.
Lineage: Bacteria; Pseudomonadati; Bacteroidota; Bacteroidia; Bacteroidales; Prevotellaceae
Description: partial 16S ribosomal RNA
Rfam family: Bacterial small subunit ribosomal RNA
Source: RNAcentral